This 492-nucleotide ribosomal RNA is filed under the name uncultured microorganism. RNAcentral's name for it is "bacterial SSU rRNA". It matches the Rfam family "Bacterial small subunit ribosomal RNA", at positions 9 to 490 of the family's 1533-position model. The record is from RNAcentral.
GAGUUUGAUCGUGGCUCAGGAUGAACGCCGGCGGUGUGCCUAAUACAUGCAAGUCGUACGCACUGGCCCAAUUGAUUGAUGGUGCUUGCACCUGAUCGACGAUGGAUCACCAGUGAGUGGCGGACGGGUGAGUAACACGUAGGUAACCUGCCCUGUACAGGGGGAUAACAAUCAGAAAUGACUGCUAAUACCGCAUAAGACCACAGCACCGCAUGGUGCAGGGGUAAAAACUCCGGUGGUACAGGAUGGACCCGCGUCUGAUUAGCUGGUUGGUGAGGUAACGGCUCACCAAGGCGACGAUCAGUAGCCGGCUUGAGAGAGUGAACGGCCACAUUGGGACUGAGACACGGCCCAAACUCCUACGGGAGGCAGCAGUGGGGAAUAUUGCACAAUGGGGAAACCCUGAUGCAGCAACGCCGCGUGAGUGAAGAAGUAUUUCGGUAUGUAAAGCUCUAUCAGCAGGGAAGAAAGUGACGGUACCUGACUAAGAAG